RNAcentral lists this ribosomal RNA (209 nucleotides) under Bacteroides fragilis str. 3996 N(B) 6. RNAcentral's name for it is "partial 16S ribosomal RNA". The stretch from base 1 to 129 matches the Rfam family "Bacterial large subunit ribosomal RNA", at positions 2782 to 2925 of the family's 2925-position model. The record is from RNAcentral. Lineage: Bacteria; Pseudomonadati; Bacteroidota; Bacteroidia; Bacteroidales; Bacteroidaceae.
UAAGUACGAAGCCAGCCACAAGAUUAGAUUUCUUUCAGGGUCGUUGUAGACUACAACGUUGAUAGGACGUAGGUGUACAGGUGGUAACAUCACAGCCGAGCGUUACUAAUUGCCCGAUGACUUUCUUUUAUCCGCCUUCAAUGGUUUAUAUAUCCGUUUAGCUUCACUAUUUAUAUAAUAGACCGCUGAAUUUACUUUUGUACAUUAUG